AAGUCGUAACAAGGUUUCCGUAGGUGAACCUGCGGAAGGAUCAUUAUUGAAUAAACUCGGUGGGUUGCUGCUGACUUUUCGGAGUAUGUGCACACCUGCUUCUGUUUCUUCUUUCACCACCUGUGCACUCUUUGUAGGCUUGGAGUACCUCUCGAGGUAACUCGGAUUUGGAACUGUUCUUUAUACUGUUCCUGUUAUUCCAGCCUAUGUUUUUCUAUCAUAUACACAUGUUUAUAGAAUGUAUAUACAGGCCGUCACAAGCCUAUAAAAUCUAUACAACUUUCAACAACGGAUCUCUUGGCUCUC
This 306-nucleotide unclassified non-coding RNA is filed under the name fungal sp. RNAcentral describes it as "partial internal transcribed spacer region". The stretch from base 1 to 46 matches the Rfam family "Eukaryotic small subunit ribosomal RNA", at positions 1786 to 1831 of the family's 1831-position model. The record is from RNAcentral. RNAcentral also lists the same sequence under 1 other name. Lineage: Eukaryota; Fungi.